UAUGACCAAUUUCGUGACAGUUGUAGC
This 27-nucleotide non-coding RNA is filed under the name Bombyx mori (domestic silkworm). Lineage: Eukaryota; Metazoa; Arthropoda; Insecta; Lepidoptera; Bombycidae. The record is from RNAcentral.